RNAcentral lists this small nuclear RNA (141 nucleotides) under Cercocebus atys (sooty mangabey). RNAcentral's name for it is "U4 spliceosomal RNA (ENSCATG00000005486.1)". It matches the Rfam family "U4 spliceosomal RNA". Rfam says of the family: U4 small nuclear RNA (U4 snRNA) is a component of the major U2-dependent spliceosome. The structure of U4 snRNA from yeast and human has been reported. The record is from Rfam by way of RNAcentral. Lineage: Eukaryota; Metazoa; Chordata; Mammalia; Primates; Cercopithecidae.
AGCUUUGUGCAGUGGCAGUAUUAUAGCCAAUGAGGUUUAUCCGAGGUGCGAUUAUUGCUAAUUGAAAACUUUUCCCAAUACCCCACCAUAAUGACUUGAAAUAUAGUUGGCAUUGGCAAUUUUUGACAGUCUCUAUGGAGA